Oncorhynchus tshawytscha (Chinook salmon) is the source of this 876-nucleotide long non-coding RNA. The record is from Ensembl. NCBI's taxonomy places the organism in Eukaryota, Metazoa, Chordata, Actinopteri, Salmoniformes, Salmonidae.
GGGCUGUCUUCUGUAUACCACGCCUACCUCGCCACAACACAACUGAUUGGCUCAAACGCAUUCCGAAGGAAAGAAAUUCCACAAAUUAACUUUUAACGAGGGCACACCUGUUAAUUGAAAUGCAUUCCAGGUGACUACCUCAUGAAGCUGGUUGAGAGAAUGCCAAUAUUAAAUAUAUACUGAUUUGUUGAAAACUUUUUGUUGGGUUACUACAUGUGUUAUUUCAAUGUAGAAGUGAAAUGUGUUGUUUUACAGGGUCAGCCAUAGUAGUACAGAGCCCUAGGAGCAAUUUAGGGUUAAGUGGCUUUUCCAAGGACACAGCGACAGAUUUUCCACUCUUUUAGCUCAGGUAUUGCAGAGAGGUAUCAAUGUUAUAGAAUUCAUAUUGUGAUCCAAAUGAUUCACAACAGGCCGACAACAACUAACGAAUUGGCUGAGUCGCAGUUAUCAGUUAUCGCAUGCUUUGUGUUAACUGGGCGGCAGGGUAGCCUAGUGGUUAGAGCGUUGGACUAGUAACCGAAAGGUUGCAAGUUCGAAUCCCUGAGCCGACAAGGUACAAAUCUGUCGUUCUGCCCCUGAACAGGCAGUUAACUCACUGUUCCUAGGCCGUCAUUGAAAAUAAGAAUUUGUUCUUAACUGACUUGCCUGGUUAAAUAAAGGUAAAAAAAAAAAAAAAAAAAAAAAAAAAAAAACUGUGAGGCCUGUGUGGGUGUAGUGGAGAAUAGAGGACUGUGGGUGUACUGUACUGGAGCAGCAGAGAUACAGGGUUAUAUCAGGUCACAGUAGUUAGUCGAUCCAUCCAUCUACAGGGUUAUAUCAGGUCACAGUAGUUAGUCGAUCCAUCCAUCUACAGGGUUAUAUCAGGUCACAGUAGUU